This 480-nucleotide ribosomal RNA is filed under the name uncultured bacterium. RNAcentral's name for it is "bacterial SSU rRNA". It matches the Rfam family "Bacterial small subunit ribosomal RNA", at positions 43 to 524 of the family's 1533-position model. The record is from RNAcentral.
CAGGCCUAACACAUGCAAGUCGAGGGGUAUAAGUCUUCGGAUUUAGAGACCGGCGCACGGGUGCGUAACGCGUAUGCAAUCUGCCUUCCACAGAGGGAUAGCCCAGAGAAAUUUGGAUUAAUACCUCAUAGUAUUAUGGGAGGGCAUCCUUUUAUAAUUAAAGUCACAACGGUGAAAGAUGAGCAUGCGUCCCAUUAGUUAGUUGGUAAGGUAACGGCUUACCAAGACAUCGAUGGGUAGGGGUCCUGAGAGGGAGAUCCCCCACACUGGUACUGAGACACGGACCAGACUCCUACGGGAGGCAGCAGUGAGGAAUAUUGGUCAAUGGGCGCAAGCCUGAACCAGCCAUGCCGCGUGCAGGAUGACGGUCCUAUGGAUUGUAAACUGCUUUUGUACGAGAAGAAACACUGCUUCGUGAAGCAGCUUGACGGUAUCGUAAGAAUAAGGAUCGGCUAACUCCGUGCCAGCAGCCGCGGUAAU